AUGUCACGUCGAGGUACUGCAGAAAAAAGAACUGCAAAAUCCGAUCCAAUUUUUCGUAAUCGAUUAGUUAACAUGGUGGUUAACCGUAUUAUGAAAGACGGAAAAAAAUCAUUGGCUUAUCAAAUUCUCUAUCGAGCCGUGAAAAAGAUUCAACAAAAGACAGAAAUAAAUCCACUAUUGGUUUUACGUCAAGCAAUACGUAGAGUAACUCCCAAUAUAGGAGUAAAAACAAGACGUAAUAAAAAAGGAUCGACGCGGAAAGUUCCGAUUGAAAUAGGAUCUAAAAAAGAAGAGCACUUGCCAUUCGUUGGUUAUUAG
Molecule: ribosomal RNA, 318 nt
Filed under: Triticum aestivum (bread wheat)
Lineage: Eukaryota; Viridiplantae; Streptophyta; Magnoliopsida; Poales; Poaceae
Description: partial small subunit ribosomal RNA
Source: RNAcentral